Molecule: ribosomal RNA, 245 nt
Filed under: uncultured Mucilaginibacter sp.
Lineage: Bacteria; Pseudomonadati; Bacteroidota; Sphingobacteriia; Sphingobacteriales; Sphingobacteriaceae
Description: partial 16S ribosomal RNA
Rfam family: Bacterial small subunit ribosomal RNA
Source: RNAcentral
UACGGAGGAUCCAAGCGUUAUCCGGAUUUAUUGGGUUUAAAGGGUGCGUAGGUGGCCUGUUAAGUCAGGGGUGAAAGACGGUAGCUUAACUAUCGCAGUGCCCUUGAUACUGAAGAACUUGAAUCCACUAGAGGUAGGCGGAACGUGACAAGUAGCGGUGAAAUGCAUAGAUAUGUCACAGAACACCAAUUGCGAAGGCAGCUUACUAAAGUAUGAUUGACGCUGAGGCACGAAAGCGUGGGGAU